GGGGAAUAUUGCACAAUGGGCGAAAGCCUGAUGCAGCGACGCCGCGUGAGGGAAGAAGGUUUUCGGAUUGUAAACCUCUGUCUUCGGGGACGAUAAUGACGGUACCCGAGGAGGAAGCCACGGCUAACUACGUGCCAGCAGCCGCGGUAAAACGUAGGUGGCAAGCGUUGUCCGGAAUUACUGGGUGUAAAGGGAGCGCAGGCGGGGUGCCAAGUUGGGUGUGAAAACUAUGGGCUCAACCCAUAGCACGAACUCAAAACUGGCGCUCUUGAGUGAUGGAGAGGCAGGCGGAAUUCCCGGUGUAGCGGUGGAAUGCGUAGAUAUCGGGAGGAACACCAGUGGCGAAGGCGGCCUGCUGGACAUUAACUGACGCUGAGGCUCGAAAGUGUGGGGAGCAAAC
Molecule: ribosomal RNA, 400 nt
Filed under: uncultured bacterium
Lineage: Bacteria
Description: bacterial SSU rRNA
Rfam family: Bacterial small subunit ribosomal RNA
Source: RNAcentral